Molecule: long non-coding RNA, 787 nt
Organism: Bos taurus (domestic cattle)
Lineage: Eukaryota; Metazoa; Chordata; Mammalia; Artiodactyla; Bovidae
Source: Ensembl
GAAAUUGGUGCUCCUCCUGUCUGUCAGAUGAAAAUGGGCUGCAACUGUUUGGCCCACGUCAAACCCACUAAUCAGGUCCAUGUUUUCCUUGUUGAAUGGGAGCUUUGGGGAAUUGCAAGGGGCAGAGGGAGUGGAGGGCCGCAGUCACACAGCAGCAGAGUGUGAGUUGUUUUCAUCUCCCACUUGGCUCCACGUUGAGCUGGUGGACUCUUACAUCUAUGGUAAGAGUCAGCUAGGUGGAAAAAGUAGUUGGUGCCAAAGCUCUCCCACACUGGAGUUUAAAUUGCCUUCGAAGAGGCUGAGCUUUGUGAGCUUCUGAUAAUAAACCUGGCUCUCCCAGGCAGGCCUGGUGAGUUCAGACAGGGAGUUUCCAGACAGAAACACGCCCUGUUUGUUGUUGUUGAUGGUGGUGACAGGUGCCCCAAAUCAAGAGGGUGGACUCCCAGCAGCCAUGUUGAUACCUUGUGACCACACCUCCUUGGCCAUAACUGAUGGAUGGACUCCUGAUGGACAAAUGAUCCAAUCCAAGCCAAUCAACUGUAUUCACUGCCAAUGUACUAAUUAACAACUUUUGAGUUACAAAGAACAGGGGAAAAAAGGUUUUUUUCUCUAAGUUGUUAAAAUGUUCAAAUAUAAUGUGUUACAAAGAUCAAUGUUGUUGUUCAGUUGCUAAGUUGUGCCCAACUUUUGGUGACCCCAUGGACUGCAGCACUUCGGGUUUCCUUCUCCUUCACUGUCUCCAGGAGUUUGCUCAAACUCACAUCCAUCGAGUCGGUGAUGCCAUCCA